GACGAACGCUGGCGGCGUGCUUAACACAUGCAAGUCGAACGGAAAGGCCCCUUUGGGGGUACUCGAGUGGCGAACGGGUGAGUAACACGUGAGUAACCUGCCCUUGACUUCGGGAUAACUUCAGGAAACUGGGGCUAAUACCGGAUAGGAAUCCUUGCUGCAUGGUGGGGGUUGGAAAGCUUCGGCGGUUUUGGAUGGACUCGCGGCUUAUCAGCUUGUUGGUGGGGUAGUGGCUUUCCAAGGCUUUGACGGGUAGCCGGCCUGAGAGGGCGACCGGCCACAUUGGGACUGAGAGACGGCCCAGACUCCUACGGGAGGCAGCAGUGGGGAAUAUUGCACAAUGGGCGGAAGCCUGAUGCAGCAACGCCGCGUGCGGGAUGACGGCCUUCGGGUUGUAAACCGCUUUCAGCAGGGGCGAAGCUUGUGGUGACGGUACCUGCAGAAGAAGCACCGGCUAACUACGUG
This 465-nucleotide ribosomal RNA is filed under the name uncultured bacterium. Its description in RNAcentral is "partial 16S ribosomal RNA". It matches the Rfam family "Bacterial small subunit ribosomal RNA", at positions 28 to 507 of the family's 1533-position model. The record is from RNAcentral.